GUAAUCGUAGGUCAGCAUACUACGGUGAAUACGUUCCCGGGCCUUGUACACACCGCCCGUCAAACCAUGAGAGUUGGCAACACCCGAAGUCGGUAGUCUAACCGCAAGGAGGACGCCGCCGAAGGUGGGGGUUGAUGAUUAGGGUUAAGUCGUAACAAGGUACC
RNAcentral lists this ribosomal RNA (164 nucleotides) under uncultured bacterium. RNAcentral describes it as "partial 16S ribosomal RNA". It matches the Rfam family "Bacterial small subunit ribosomal RNA", at positions 1338 to 1500 of the family's 1533-position model. The record is from RNAcentral.